CUGAGUGAGGGCUCACGCCCGACCUCCAACCCUUUGUGAACACAUCUUGUUGCUUCGGGGGCGACCCUGCCGGCCCUGCGUCGCCGGGCGCCCCCGAAGGUCUCCAAACACUGCAUCUUUGCGUCGGAGUUUAAAACAAAUUAAACA
This 147-nucleotide unclassified non-coding RNA is filed under the name uncultured fungus. RNAcentral's name for it is "sequence contains ITS1, 5.8S rRNA gene". The record is from RNAcentral. Lineage: Eukaryota; Fungi.